UGGAGCUGAAAGAGAUGUUAGGAUCAUCAGGUCACAUCUCAAAGGUGGAGGGACCUCAGCAAGAAAACUCCUAACGCAUUAUAUCUGGCAAAUGACCAUCUAGCCUUUGCUUGAAGACCUCUGGGAGAUGACUAAAGUGGCUCUCAGUGAAGUUAAUGUCAUGCCUUGGGGAUCCAGGUAUUAUUAUCAUCCAAACAUAUAGCCCCUUAUCCAGUGGAGCAAGACCAAGACCCAGAGAUGUGUUCAAAUUGCAAUUCUGUCUCCUUUGUGCAACUUCAAGAUAAGAGUGGUGGUACCCUCUUCAUGAAGUGCAAGCCAUGCUCAGAGUCAGAUGUGGGCACAUAGCCCACAUAUUUCAGAGGCUGUGAAUGCAUGCUGUGAAUUAGCCAUACAAGCAAUCCACCACACUAGAUAUUUCCGAGAAAGAACACUGAGUACAGUACCUGCCUCUGCCCAGAGAAGAAGCAUCUCAUGGAGAUCCAAUUUGAGGAAAGAAGACUGCAAUGGGAGGGAAGAACUGCUAUCAAAAAAGAGCCUUUGUUCUCUCAUUCUUUGACUUCAUAUUUUUGUAGCAACUGUGCUCAUUUCUUUUUUCUUUUGAGGGGAAAGGCAGGGCAAAAUCGGGGUAAGUGACUUGCCCAAGGUCACACAGCUAGUAAGUGUGUCAAGUGUCUGAGGCCAGAUUUGAACUCAGAUCCUUCUGACUACAGGGCCAGUGCUCUACUCACUGCACCACCUAGCUGCCCCCAUACAAUUGUGCUCAUUUAGACAUUUCUCCAGGCUCGGUAAAGGGCAUGAUGGGAGAAGGGACCCAGCUUUUGGUGACUCUAACCUGACAAUGUGCUGCUCUUGCUGUGCAAAGACAGUUCAAUUAAUCCACCACCGACAGGAAGGGCAUCUGAGACUGUUCUUUGAGCGGUCCUAAAAGGAAUGUGGAAUUCUAAGAAAUUCGACUCACCCUGGUCUCUACCCAUUUGUGGCCGAUAGCACACACUUGUCAAGUGAGGGCAGUAUGAAGGUAGUUGGUGCUUUGUGGGAGCUGGGGGAGCGGAAGGAGUGAGAAGACUUUGGGGAGUAAUAAAAGCUAAAAAGAAAGCUUUGCAAGGGACAAAUAGGAAUAUCUCACAUUCCUUUACUCAUACCUAAGGCUGGCAUUCCUUCCUUUUCCCCUUACAGAAACAACUUUUAGAUGGUGUUUUAGGGUUUGCAAAAUAUCUUACACAUGUUAUCUCAUUUGACCCUUACAAUGUUACCAUGAGGAAAAUUUUACAGAUAUUAUUAUUCCCAUUUCACUGAGAAAAAUGAAACCAAGGGAAGAUAAGCACAAAUAGAUUGUCAGGCUAGAUUAGAUAAAGCAUUGAUUGUUUACUACAUGUGGGGCACUGUGCUGGAGCAGUGUCUAGAGUAGAAUUUAAACCUAGUCUUCCUUAUUUCAAUAAAAUAUCAAUUUCAAUAAAAUUCCUGAGACUCCAGAUCAUUGAAUCUGCAUCCCUGAGGCCUAGCACAGUACUUGGACAGACUUUAAGAAAGAGUGGAGGAGAGAAAGGCCUGGUGUGCUAUGGUCCAUAAGGUCAUGAAGAGUUGGAUGUGACAGAACAACUGAAUAACAAAAGUCCAAACUGUAUCUGAGAGGGAAUCUCCUUCACAGAAACUCUGAUGAAUUAUCAUGGAAUCUGGAUUCAGUUUGAAUAUGCCCAAUUUUGAAGAACUCACUGUCUUCCACGAUAGCUCAUUUGACUUUAUUUGGCUAAAUAUAAUUUAUAGGGAAUUACUUUCCCUUCUAUUGAGCUGUAAUUGAUCUUUUACCCAUAAUGCUCUUGGGCACCAAGCAAAACAAGUUUCAUAUCUUCUCCAUGGGAUCACUCCACCGAUUUGAAGAUAGCUUUUAUGACAUACUGAAAACUCUCUCCUCUAGAAGGAGAAUCCCCAGUUUUUUCACAUGUCCUCGAACGUCAUGAUUUGAGUUUCCUCAUAAUUCUGACCAAUUCUCUCUGGAUGCCUUCCAGUUUAUGUAUACUUUUCCUCAAAUAUGGAUCCCUAAACUGAGCACAACUCUUCUGUUAGGUUCUAAUUAGGGCAGAGCACAUUGGAGCAAUCAUUUUCCUAGUGUUAGAUACUUUUCUUCUAUUAAUCCAGCCUAAGAUUGAUUAGCUUUUUUUAACAUUGACUUAUAUUGGGCUUGUGGUAUAUUCAGCCUCACCCCCUACCUCUAUCCCUGGACUUUUUCACAAAAACUUUUUUCUAGGCACAUGAGAUCAUCAAUUAGGAUUGGAAGACCUCUUAUUUUACAAAUCAGCAAACCCAGGCUCAGAGAAAUAAAGUGGCUUGUCAUCUCCAUCAUCCUUUACUUGGAAGUUUGUUUAUUUAGCUCAAGUGCAUGGUUUUACAUUUGUCUUUAUUACAUUGCAUCAUUCUAGACUACCACAAUCUUUUUUUUGAAUCCUGAUUCUGUCAAUCAAUGUAUCAUUCACAGCUACAGUUUACCUACCAGGCUAUGGGAUCCUGACCCAUGAGUUUGUCAGAGGGGGUAACUGCCAGUGUGGAAGUUUCCUCCACCAAUGCAAAUAAAUCAUUCUUCUCUAAUUUAGUCUUAGAG
Molecule: long non-coding RNA, 2596 nt
Organism: Trichosurus vulpecula (common brushtail)
Lineage: Eukaryota; Metazoa; Chordata; Mammalia; Diprotodontia; Phalangeridae
Exons: 3
Source: RefSeq, a predicted model, not a curated record